UGGGGAAUAUUGGACAAUGGGCGAAAGCCUGAUCCAGCCAUGCCGCGUGUGUGAAGAAGGCCUUAUGGUUGUAAAGCACUUUAAGUGGGGAGGAAAAGCUUAUGGAUAACACCCAUAGGUUCUGACGUUACCCACAGAAUAAGCACCGGCUAACUCUGUGCCAGCAGCCGCGGUAAUACAGAGGGUGCAAGCGUUAAUCGGAAUUACUGGGCGUAAAGCGAGCGUAGGUGGUUUAUUAAGUCAGAUGUGAAAUCCCUGGGCUUAACCUAGGAACUGCAUCUGAUACUGAUAAACUAGAGUAGGUGAGAGGAAAGUAGAAUUCCAGGUGCAGCGGUGAAAUGCGUAGAGAUCUGGAGGAAUACCGAUGGCGAAGGCAGCUUUCUGGCAUCAUACUGACACUGAGGUUCGAAAGCGUGGGUAGCAAACAGGAUUAGAUACCCUGGUAGUCCACGCCGUAAACGAUGUCUACCAGUCGUUGGGUCUUUUAAAGGCUUAGUGACGCAGUUAACGCGAUAAGUAGACCGCCUGGGGAGUACGGCCGCAAGGUUA
This 549-nucleotide ribosomal RNA is filed under the name uncultured bacterium. Its description in RNAcentral is "bacterial SSU rRNA". It matches the Rfam family "Bacterial small subunit ribosomal RNA", at positions 355 to 896 of the family's 1533-position model. The record is from RNAcentral.